AGUGGCGAACGGGUGAGUAACGCGUGGGAACAUACCUUACGAUGGGGAAUAACAGUUGGAAACGACUGCUAAUACCGCAUACGCCCUUCGGGGGAAAGGCUUCGGCCGUCGUUAGAGUGUCCCGCGUUCGAUUAGCUAGUUGGUGAGGUAAUGGCUCACCAAGGCUACGAUCGAUAGCUGGUCUGAGAGGAUGAUCAGCCACACUGGAACUGAGACACGGUCCAGACUCC
RNAcentral lists this ribosomal RNA (230 nucleotides) under uncultured bacterium. Its description in RNAcentral is "partial 16S ribosomal RNA". It matches the Rfam family "Bacterial small subunit ribosomal RNA", at positions 94 to 339 of the family's 1533-position model. The record is from RNAcentral.